GGUAGCAGGGCCGAGCGGCCCAAGGCGCUGGAUUAAGGUUCCAGUUUCUACGGGGGGCGUGGGUUCGAGUCCCACCGCUGCCA
RNAcentral lists this transfer RNA (83 nucleotides) under Procavia capensis (Cape rock hyrax). RNAcentral's name for it is "tRNA-Leu (AAG) (tRNA-Leu-AAG-5-1)". It matches the Rfam family "tRNA". From Rfam's summary of the family: Transfer RNA (tRNA) molecules are approximately 80 nucleotides in length. Their secondary structure includes four short double-helical elements and three loops (D, anti-codon, and T loops). Further hydrogen bonds mediate the characteristic L-shaped molecular structure. tRNAs have two regions of fundamental functional importance: the anti-codon, which is responsible for specific mRNA codon recognition, and the 3' end, to which the tRNAs corresponding amino acid is attached (by aminoacyl-tRNA synthetases). tRNAs cope with the degeneracy of the genetic code in two manners: having more than one tRNA (with a specific anti-codon) for a particular amino acid; and 'wobble' base-pairing, i.e. permitting non-standard base-pairing at the 3rd anti-codon position. The record is from RNAcentral. Lineage: Eukaryota; Metazoa; Chordata; Mammalia; Hyracoidea; Procaviidae.